GGGUACCGUCAGGCCUAACGUGUAUUAUACGUUAGGAGGUUCUUCCCCUCUGACAGGGCUUUACGACCCAAGAGCCUUCAUCACUCACGCGGUAUUGCUGCGUCAGGCUUUCGCCCAUUGCGCAAAAUUCCCC
RNAcentral lists this ribosomal RNA (133 nucleotides) under uncultured bacterium. Its description in RNAcentral is "partial 16S ribosomal RNA". The record is from RNAcentral.